This is a long non-coding RNA of Daucus carota subsp. sativus, 831 nucleotides long. RefSeq lists it as uncharacterized. The record is from RefSeq and is a predicted model, not a curated record. The transcript has 3 exons. NCBI's taxonomy places the organism in Eukaryota, Viridiplantae, Streptophyta, Magnoliopsida, Apiales, Apiaceae.
AACUAGUACCGAUUGGACCCCGCUUUAUUAAUAUAAAGCUAUUAAAUACGUAUUUUCAUGUCAUAAACGAUCCAAAGGGGUACCAAUUAUUUGUAAAUAUAAAUAGACCUUUCUAGAGCUUAUUUUCACCCGUAAAAUCAUUUCACCAGUUUCUUUCCACGAAUACCGAGAGAAACCGAGCGGUGUUCUUCGUGUUCUUCAUAAUCAAACGAAGAUUUGAAGGUGUUAUUGGAGUCAGAAUCAAGCGUGCAAAUAGUCAAAUCGAAGAUAUCGAAGAGUAGAACUCAAAUCAACCAUCAAAAACAACAUGAGAUUCACAGGAUUUGGACGUGACGAGUACGCUUGAAGACAUCAGAAAGUCAGAAUGGUAUUGCAAAGCGAAUAAAGAAUGAAUCGAGUAAGCGAGGUAGUGUGGCGAAUAGAGUAUAGCCAGAGAUGGUCUGGAGACUGUGAUAUGCCUAGAUUGUGAAAGUGGAAAGAUGAGAUUGAGAUGUGAGACUGGAGUCAGAUUUAAGAAAGGAUUAAAGAUGAAUGGCUAGUCUAUGAUUGCGAGUAAAGUUAAGGCUAGGCGAGGAGUCAGAGGUGUUAAGGAUCCAGUGGUCGAGAAGUGACCAGGAAGAUUGAUAAGGUUGAUGCUAGCUCGAGUUGUGCUAUUGAGAUUCAGAUGUAAGUCAUAGCUGGAAUAGUUGACAGUGAUUCUUCUUAUCGAAGAUGAUCUGAUUUGGUAAGAGAUGUUGUGUAAUAAUAGUGGUUGAUUCUAAUUUCAAUACUGUAACCUGGAAGCGAUCCUGUUGUUUUAGGGGGUUCAAAUGUUCUCUUUCAAAUCUUUUA